Molecule: long non-coding RNA, 289 nt
Filed under: Panax ginseng (ginseng)
Lineage: Eukaryota; Viridiplantae; Streptophyta; Magnoliopsida; Apiales; Araliaceae
Description: long non-coding RNA (PGIN_LNC009781)
Source: RNAcentral
ACCCGAAGAGUCUGGCCGAAGCCUUUGAUAAAGCUGAAGGCUAUAUCGUAGUGGAAGAAGCCAUGAGUAGCCUCAAGCGUCCUUCUUUAGAUCGGCCCAGAGAUACGGAUCGGGACAAAACUGAUGAAGACCAGAAGAAGAUUGAAGGACACAAAGACCGUCAUGAAGGCGGGUCGAAAAGGUAUAACAAUUGGAGGCAGGGUGGAGGACGUUCGUCCGCUCCCCCCCAGAGAGUAAACAGGACUUACACGGCGCUCAACGCCGAUAGGGCGGUUAUCUUAGAUCAGAU